This 450-nucleotide ribosomal RNA is filed under the name uncultured bacterium. Its description in RNAcentral is "partial 16S ribosomal RNA". It matches the Rfam family "Bacterial small subunit ribosomal RNA", at positions 354 to 796 of the family's 1533-position model. The record is from RNAcentral.
GUGGGGAAUAUUGGACAAUGGGCGAAAGCCUGAUCCAGCCAUGCCGCGUGUGUGAAGAAGGUCUUCGGAUUGUAAAGCACUUUAAGUUGGGAGGAAGGGCAGUAAGUUAAUACCUUGCUGUUUUGACGUUACCGACAGAAUAAGCACCGGCUAACUUCGUGCCAACAGCCGCGGUAAUACGAAGGGUGCAAGCGUUAAUCGGAAUUACUGGGCGUAAAGCGCGCGUAGGUGGUUUUGUAAGUUGGAGGUGAAAUCCCCGGGCUCAACCUGGGAACUGCCUCCAAAACUGCAUGACUAGAGUACGGUAGAGGGUAGUGGAAUUUCCUGUGUAGCGGUGAAAUGCGUAGAUAUAGGAAGGAACACCAGUGGCGAAGGCGACUACCUGGACUGAUACUGACACUGAGGUGCGAAAGCGUGGGGAGCAAACAGGAUUAGAAACCCCUGUAGUCC